UACGUAGGGGGCAAGCGUUAUCCGGAAUUACUGGGUGUAAAGGGUGAGUAGGCGGCAUGGUAAGCCAGAUGUGAAAGCCUUGGGCUUAACCCGAGGAUUGCAUUUGGAACUAUCAAGCUAGAGUACAGGAGAGGAAAGCGGAAUUCCUAGUGUAGCGGUGAAAUGCGUAGAGAUAUGGAGGAACACCAGUGGCGAAGGCGGCUUCCUGGUCUGCAACUGACACUGAGGCGCGAAAGCGUGGGGAGCAAACAGG
RNAcentral lists this ribosomal RNA (253 nucleotides) under uncultured Lachnospiraceae bacterium. RNAcentral's name for it is "partial 16S ribosomal RNA". It matches the Rfam family "Bacterial small subunit ribosomal RNA", at positions 524 to 776 of the family's 1533-position model. The record is from RNAcentral. Lineage: Bacteria; Bacillati; Bacillota; Clostridia; Lachnospirales; Lachnospiraceae.